UCCCAGGUGGCUCAGUAGGUAAAGAACCUGCCUGGAAUGCAGGAGACACAGGUUCAAUCCCUGGGAU
This 67-nucleotide transfer RNA is filed under the name Capra hircus (goat). It matches the Rfam family "tRNA". From Rfam's summary of the family: Transfer RNA (tRNA) molecules are approximately 80 nucleotides in length. Their secondary structure includes four short double-helical elements and three loops (D, anti-codon, and T loops). Further hydrogen bonds mediate the characteristic L-shaped molecular structure. tRNAs have two regions of fundamental functional importance: the anti-codon, which is responsible for specific mRNA codon recognition, and the 3' end, to which the tRNAs corresponding amino acid is attached (by aminoacyl-tRNA synthetases). tRNAs cope with the degeneracy of the genetic code in two manners: having more than one tRNA (with a specific anti-codon) for a particular amino acid; and 'wobble' base-pairing, i.e. permitting non-standard base-pairing at the 3rd anti-codon position. Lineage: Eukaryota; Metazoa; Chordata; Mammalia; Artiodactyla; Bovidae. RNAcentral also lists the same sequence under 1 other name. The record is from Rfam by way of RNAcentral.